This 235-nucleotide ribosomal RNA is filed under the name uncultured bacterium. Its description in RNAcentral is "partial 16S ribosomal RNA". It matches the Rfam family "Bacterial small subunit ribosomal RNA", at positions 99 to 334 of the family's 1533-position model. The record is from RNAcentral.
CGGACGGGUGAGUAAUGUCUGGGAAACUGCCUGAUGGAGGGGGAUAACUACUGGAAACGGUAGCUAAUACCGCAUAACGUCGCAAGACCGAAACGAGGGGGGACCUUCGGGCCUCUUGCCAUCGGAUGUGCCCAGAUGGGAUUAGCUAGUAGGUGGGGUAACGGCUCACCUAGGCGACGAUCCCUAGCUGGUCUGAGAGGAUGACCAGCCACACUGGAACUGAGACACGGUCCAG